Molecule: ribosomal RNA, 588 nt
Filed under: uncultured bacterium
Lineage: Bacteria
Description: partial 16S ribosomal RNA
Rfam family: Bacterial small subunit ribosomal RNA
Source: RNAcentral
UGGGGAAUUUUGGACAAUGGGCGAAAGCCUGAUCCAGCAAUGCCGCGUGUGUGAAGAAGGCCUUCGGGUUGUAAAGCACUUUUGUCCGGAAAGAAAUCCUUGGCUCUAAUACAGUCGGGGGAUGACGGUACCGGAAGAAUAAGCACCAGCUAACUACGUGCCAGCAGCCGCGGUAAUACGUAGGGUGCAAGCGUUAAUCGGAAUUACUGGGCGUAAAGCGUGCGCAGGCGGUUUGCUAAGACCGAUGUGAAAUCCCCGGGCUCAACCUGGGAACUGCAUUGGUGACUGGCAGGCUAGAGUAUGGCAGAGGGGGGUAGAAUUCCACGUGUAGCAGUGAAAUGCGUAGAGAUGUGGAGGAAUACCGAUGGCGAAGGCAGCCCCCUGGGCCAAUACUGACGCUCAUGCACGAAAGCGUGGGGAGCAAACAGGAUUAGAUACCCUGGUAGUCCACGCCCUAAACGAUGUCAACUAGUUGUUGGGGGAUUCAUUUCCUUAGUAACGUAGCUAACGCGUGAAGUUGACCGCCUGGGGAGUACGGUCGCAAGAUUAAAACUCAAAGGAAUUGACGGGGGUCAUAGCUGUUUCCUG